Molecule: long non-coding RNA, 1490 nt
Organism: Peromyscus leucopus (white-footed mouse)
Lineage: Eukaryota; Metazoa; Chordata; Mammalia; Rodentia; Cricetidae
Exons: 3
Source: RefSeq, a predicted model, not a curated record
UUUUAAUUAAUAUAAGCCCCUGUGUGUUUACUUGGUGGAUGCAAGUGGGAGAGAUUUGUCCCAACCGCUGCCCAGUUGGGACACAAGAAAGCUUCAGCUACACCCUGGUGCUCACCAAUGAGUGUGGACAGGAUCUAUGGCUUAUUUAUAGCCACAGAAUAUGAUAAAGGUGGCAUGGUGUCCACCUGUGACUGUGUUAUGUAAUGAGAGAGUCACGUGUCGCUACCUCGGUGAACAGCAGCACUGUGGACGUGCACAUAGUGAGCAGCUCAGAGGACUUGGCCAUCCGCUGAUGAGGAGCCUGGAUUCCUGCUCCUAGAGCCAUAGUAAGUGAAUUCUGCCUGGCUCUUGAGUUAGUUUGGAAGAGAUUUCUUUCCCAGUCAAGCCUACAGACUAGAACAGUUGGAGCAACAUCUUGCCUGCAACUUCUGCCUGAAGCAGAAGAUUUGUCUGGGCCACAUCCUGACCUUAUGGAGACUGUAAAGGGGGUAGUUUUGAACCGCUAGGAUGUGGUCAUUUGUCUUUCAGAAUUAGAAAACAAACACUCAGUUCUAUACACAUGCUAUAUGCCAUAUCCACACCGGUUGAGGGCUUGAAGUACCCCAAGAACUUAACAAAAUGUUAUCUGCACUUUACAGAUAAAGCAAUCGAGGCUCGGAAAUUGAACUCUGCCCCCGUUUUUAAAAACAUCACAACAUAUUUUGUUUCAGUGCAUUUCAUUGUUUCGACUUAAGUAUGGUUUGAGAUACAUCUUCUGAAACACAAAUACAUUUCAGAAAAAUUCUACUUGGCAUACAGAGAACAUAAGAAAUAAUAUUGGAUACAUGACAGGAAAUUUUCUCACUUGUGCUCAAAGCAGUAACAAUAAACUCUUAAAAGGGAGAACACUCAUGCAGGUCCAAGCCUGGUGUCUUAGCUGGAACCAGAGUCUCAAGAUGCUAAUUAUUCAUACAACGUGAUUGAGGAUUUGGAGUCGGAGAUUCACCUGCAAUAUUUGGAAUACCAGUGGAGAUCCAUAUCAACAUGGAAUUUAUACAGCAGCUGGUGCCAGUCACAGCUAAUGAUGAAAUUUCAGUUUAAUAAAAAGACCCCCAACUGAGCACAACCAUCUUGAAGAAAGUAUACUUAUCAAACAGCUUUCAAUCAGUUCAAGAGAGACACCUUAAUUGGGAAGAGGAAGAAUUGCACAGCAGUUUGUCACCAUGCCAAUUUCAGAUCAAUAGCGUUGCCCUGCUCUUUGGUACACAUAGCCUUUCCUUACGCCAUUAACUGUGUCUACAUCCUCUCCAUUGAGAUGAGAUCUUUGUUCAGUUGAGAGUAUGUGAUCAUGCCCCCUUCUAAUUCACCCAUUUCAUUAUAAUACCCACGAAUAAAAUUUAGACUGUAAUCAUAAAGGUCAAUACAUUUUCUUUUAACUAAAAUUAUUUCCUGGUACUGGAAAUCAGUGCUUAUGACAUGUUGUAUUUUCAAAAGUUAUUUUGUCGAAAUAA